AAGACCUUGCGCUUUUGGAGCGGCCGACGCCUGAUUAGCUUGUUGGUAAGGUAAAAGCUUACCAAGGCUUCGAUCAGUAGCUGGUCUGAGAGGACGACCAGCCACACUGGGACUGAGACACGGCCCAGACUCCUACGGGAGGCAGCAGUGGGGAAUUUUGGACAAUGGGGGCAACCCUGAUCCAGCCAUGCCGCGUGAGUGAAGAAGGCCUUCGGGUUGUAAAGCUCUUUCAACCGGAACGAAACGGUUACGGAUAACACCCGUGACUACUGACGGUACCGGAAGAAGAAGCACCGGCUAACUACGUGCCAGCAGCCGCGGUAAUACGUAGGGUGCGAGCGUUAAUCGGAAUUACUGGGCGUAAAGCGUGCGCAGGUGGUUUUGUAAGUCAGAUGUGAAAGCCCCGGGCUCAACCUGGGAACU
This 423-nucleotide ribosomal RNA is filed under the name uncultured bacterium. RNAcentral's name for it is "bacterial SSU rRNA". It matches the Rfam family "Bacterial small subunit ribosomal RNA", at positions 207 to 622 of the family's 1533-position model. The record is from RNAcentral.